Molecule: ribosomal RNA, 494 nt
Filed under: uncultured bacterium
Lineage: Bacteria
Description: partial 16S ribosomal RNA
Rfam family: Bacterial small subunit ribosomal RNA
Source: RNAcentral
ACUCAAAUGAAUUGACGGGGAGGCACACAACCAGUGGAACAUGUGGUUCAAUUCGAUACGAACCGAAGAACCUCACCAGGGCUUGACAUACUACCGUACAGCUACCUGGAAACAGGUGGCAAUCCGCAAGGAUGGUAGUACAGGUGCUGCAUGGCUGUCGUCAGUUCGUUCCGUGAGGAGUGCCCUUAAGUGGGACAACGAACGCAACCCCUAUCUUGUGUUAUAUUUGUCACAAGAGACUGCCCUCGAUUUACUCGGGGAAGGAAGGAGGGGCAGACGUCAAGUCAGCAUGGUCCUUAUGCCCUGGGCUACACACAUGUUACAAUGAGGAGGACAAUGGGUCUUGCAAGCGCGUAAGCGCAAGCCAAUCCCCAAACCUUCUCUCAGUAGGGAUUGAGGUCUGCAACUCGACCUCAUGAACGUGGAAUUGGUAGUAAUCGUAGGUCAGCUAUACUACGGUGAAUACGUUCUUGCCUCUUGCACACACCGCCCGU